RNAcentral lists this unclassified non-coding RNA (404 nucleotides) under soil metagenome. Its description in RNAcentral is "partial contains 5.8S ribosomal RNA, internal transcribed spacer 2, and large subunit ribosomal RNA". The stretch from base 1 to 121 matches the Rfam family "5.8S ribosomal RNA", at positions 35 to 154 of the family's 154-position model. The record is from RNAcentral.
GAUGAAGAACGCAGCGAAAUGCGAUGAGUAAUGUGAAUUGCAGAAUUCAGUGAAUCAUCGAAUCUUUGAACGCACCUUGCGCCCUUUGGCUAUUCCGAAGGGCAUGCCUGUUUGAGUAUCAUGAACACCUCAACCCUCAUGGUUUGCCAUGACGGGCUUGGACUUUGGGGGUCUUGCUGGAUUGUAGUCAGCUCCCCUUAAACAAAUCAGCUUGCCAGUGUUUGGUGGCAUCACAGGUGUGAUAACUAUCUACGCUUGUGGUUUUACAUCAGAUAACCUUCAGUGAUGGAGGUUCACUGGAGCUCAUAAAGGUGUCUCUCCUCUGUGAGGACAGCUCUUUGAAUGUUUGAUCUCAAAUCAGGCAGGACUACCCGCUGAACUUAAGCAUAUCAAUAAGCGGAGGA